AAUUAACGCUGGCAAAGUGCAUAACACAUGCAAGUCGAGCGAAACUUGUAGCAAUACAAGUUUAGCGGCAAACGAGUGAGUAACACGUAAACAAUCUACCCUUGAAUGGCGGACAACCAAUCGAAAGGCUGGCUAAUACGCCGUACUCUCCCUUGAAGGCAUCUUCAAGGGAGGAGAGAUCCGCAGGGAUCGUUCUUGGAGGAGUUUGCGGCCCAUCACCUAGUUGGCGGUGUAAUAAACCACCAAGGCUACAACGGGUACCCGGCCUGAAAGGGCGGACGGGCACGAUGGCACUGAAACACGGGCCAUACUCCUACGGGAGGCAGCAGUGGGGAAUUUUGGACAAUGGGCGAAAGCCUGAUCCAGCAACUCUGCGUGAGGGACGAAGGCCUUCGGGUCGUAAACCUCUUUUACAUGGGAAGAAUACCCGCAAGGGUUCGACGGUACCAUGUGAAUAAGCCACGGCUAACUAUGUG
This 476-nucleotide ribosomal RNA is filed under the name uncultured bacterium. RNAcentral describes it as "bacterial SSU rRNA". It matches the Rfam family "Bacterial small subunit ribosomal RNA", at positions 29 to 507 of the family's 1533-position model. The record is from RNAcentral.